CAUGGUACCGAACGGAUUGCGGCAGUUUUUUCAUUAUCCGAUUUUCUUGCCAUUCUUCAACGCAAGACUUUAACGUAGCAACAAAUCUGUUUGAACCCAACGACACUAAACUUGUUCCUCCACGCAGAAUUCUGAAAAAGCGCCGAGGAAGCACCAGCAAAGAAAAGAACGACAUGAUAUCGAAACCUCACGCUCGAUGUAUUCUUAGCUCGAGUUUCAUACGAGGCCUGUGUGUCCUCUGUGCUAAUAUAGUAGAAGCUAGAACCUUGAAGAUAACGGCUUUAAUGGGUCUUGGAAGGCGGGCGGGCUUGGCCGUACCACCAC
RNAcentral lists this small RNA (324 nucleotides) under Histoplasma capsulatum. Its description in RNAcentral is "hypothetical RNA". Lineage: Eukaryota; Fungi; Ascomycota; Eurotiomycetes; Onygenales; Ajellomycetaceae. The record is from RNAcentral. RNAcentral also lists the same sequence under 1 other name.